This 697-nucleotide ribosomal RNA is filed under the name uncultured soil bacterium. RNAcentral describes it as "bacterial SSU rRNA". It matches the Rfam family "Bacterial small subunit ribosomal RNA", at positions 46 to 762 of the family's 1533-position model. The record is from RNAcentral.
GCAUGAGACAUGCAAGUCGAACGGACGAUCGGGGCUUGCCUUGAUCGUUAGUGGCGGACGGCUGAGUAACGCGUAGGUGACCUGCCCCGAAGUGGGGAAUAACUGCCCGAAAGGGUGGCUAAUACCGCAUGUGGUGGUGUGUUCAUUCACACCAGUAAAGCCGCAAGGCGCUUCGGGAGGGGCCUGCGUCCGAUUAGCUCGUUGGUGGGGUAACGGCUCACCAAGGCGACGAUCGGUAGGUGGUCUGAGAGGACGAUCACCCAGACUGGGACUGAGACACGGCCCAGACUCCUACGGGAGGCAGCAGUCGGGAAUUUUGCGCAAUGGACGAAAGUCUGACGCAGCAACGCCGCGUGAGGGAUGAAGGCCUUCGGGUUGUAAACCUCUUUUAUCAGGGAAGAUAAUGACGGUACCUGAUGAAUAAGUCACGGCUAACUACGUGCCAGCAGUCGCGGUAAUACGUAGGUGACAAGCGUUGUCCGGAUUUACUGGGCGUAAAGAGCGCGCAGGCGGUCGUUCAAGUCGAGUGUGAAAGCCCCCGGCUCAACUGGGGAGGGUCAUUCGAUACUGAUCGACUCGAAGGCAGGAGAGGGUAGUGGAAUUCCCGGUGUAGUGGUGAAAUGCGUAGAUAUCGGGAGGAACACCAGUGGCGAAGGCGACUACCUGGCCUGUUCUUGACGCUGAGGCGCGAAAGCUA